Molecule: ribosomal RNA, 467 nt
Filed under: uncultured bacterium
Lineage: Bacteria
Description: bacterial SSU rRNA
Rfam family: Bacterial small subunit ribosomal RNA
Source: RNAcentral
CUGGCGGCGUGCCUAACACAUGCAAGUCGAGCGAGGAGAUUCCUUCGGGAUGAUCCUAGCGGCGGACGGGUGAGGUAACACGUGGGCAACCUGCCUCAUAGAGAGGAAUAGCCUUCCGAAAGGGAGAUUAAUACCUCAUAACAUUGCAGUUUCGCAUGAAACAGCAAUUAAAGGAGCAAUCCGCUAUGAGAUGGGCCCGCGGCGCAUUAGCUAGUUGGUGAGGUAACGGCUCACCAAGGCGACGAUGCGUAGCCGACCUGAGAGGGUGAUCGGCCACAUUGGGACUGAGACACGGCCCAGACUCCUACGGGAGGCAGCAGUGGGGAAUAUUGCACAAUGGGGGAAACCCUGAUGCAAGCAACGCCGCGUGAGUGAUGACGGCCUUCGGGUUGUAAAGCUCUGUCUUCAGGGACGAUAAUGACGGUACCUGAGGAGGAAGCCACGGCUAACUACGUGCCAGCAGCCGC